RNAcentral lists this ribosomal RNA (253 nucleotides) under uncultured bacterium. RNAcentral's name for it is "partial 16S ribosomal RNA". It matches the Rfam family "Bacterial small subunit ribosomal RNA", at positions 524 to 776 of the family's 1533-position model. The record is from RNAcentral.
UACAGAGGGUGCGAACGUUGCUCGGAAUUACUGGGCGUAAAGCGCGUGUAGGCGGACCGGUAAGUCAGAUGUGAAAUCCCUGGGCUCAACCCAGGAACUGCAUUUGAAACUGUUGGUCUAGAGUAUCGGAGAGGGUGGCGGAAUUCCUGGUGUAGAGGUGAAAUUCGUAGAUAUCAGGAGGAACACCGGUGGCGAAGGCGGCCACCUGGACGGUCACUGACGCUGAGACGCGAAAGCGUGGGGAGCAAACAGG